Molecule: ribosomal RNA, 885 nt
Filed under: uncultured bacterium
Lineage: Bacteria
Description: bacterial SSU rRNA
Rfam family: Bacterial small subunit ribosomal RNA
Source: RNAcentral
UCCGGAUUUAUUGGGCGUAAAGCGAGCGCAGGCGGUUAGAUAAGUCUGAAGUUAAAGGCUGUGGCUUAACCAUAGUACGCUUUGGAAACUGUUUAACUUGAGUGCAGAAGGGGAGAGUGGAAUUCCAUGUGUAGCGGUGAAAUGCGUAGAUAUAUGGAGGAACACCGGUGGCGAAAGCGGCUCUCUGGUCUGUAACUGACGCUGAGGCUCGAAAGCGUGGGGAGCGAACAGGACUAGAUACCNUGGUAGUCCACGCCGUAAACGAUGAGUGCUAGGUGUUAGGCCCUUUCCGGGGCUUAGUGCCGCAGCUAACGCAUUAAGCACUCCGCCUGGGGAGUACGACCGCAAGGUUGAAACUCGAAGGAAUUGACGGGGGCCCGCACAAGCGGUGGAGCAUGUGGUUUAAUUCGAAGCAACGCGAAGAACCUUACCAGGUCUUGACAUCCCGAUGCCCGCUCUAGAGAUAGAGUUUUACUUCGGUACAUCGGUGACAGGUGGUGCAUGGUUGUCGUCAGCUCGUGUCGUGAGAUGUUGGGUUAAGUCCCGCAACGAGCGCAACCCUUAUUGUUAGUUGCCAUCAUUCAGUUGGGCACUCUAGCGAGACUGCCGGUAAUAAACCGGAGGAAGGUGGGGAUGACGUCAAAUCAUCAUGCCCCUUAUGACCUGGGCUACACACGUGCUACAAUGGCUGGUACAACGAGUCGCAAGUCGGUGACGGCAAGCUAAUCUCUUAAAGCCAGUCUCAGUUCGGAUUGUAGGCUGCAACUCGCCUACAUGAAGUCGGAAUCGCUAGUAAUCGCGGAUCAGCACGCCGCGGUGAAUACGUUCCCGGGCCUUGUACACACCGCCCGUCACACCACGAGAGUUUGUAACACCCGAAGUCGG